Molecule: ribosomal RNA, 482 nt
Filed under: uncultured bacterium
Lineage: Bacteria
Description: partial 16S ribosomal RNA
Rfam family: Bacterial small subunit ribosomal RNA
Source: RNAcentral
AUUGAACGCUGGCGGCAUGCCUUACACAUGCAAGUCGAACGGUAACGGGCCUUCGUUUUCCGACGCGUGGCGAACGGGUGAGUAAUACAUCGGAACGUGCCCUAUCCUUGGGGAUAACGAGGCGAAAGCUUUGCUAAUCCCGCAUACGAUCUACGGAUGAACUCCGUGGACCGCAAUGCCUUGCUCCGACGGAGCGGCCGAUGGCGGAUUAGGUUGUUGGUGGGAUAAAAGCUUACCAAGCCGACGAGCUGUAGCUGGUCUGAGAGGAGGAUGAGCCACACUGGGACUGAGACACGGCCAAGACUACUAAGGGAGGCAGCAGUGGGGAAUGUUGGACAAAGGGCGCAAGCAUGAUCCAGCGAGGCCGAGUGCAGGAUGAAGGCCUUCGGGUUGUAAACUGCUUUUGUACGGAACGAAAAGCCUUCGUUUAAGACAGGAGGGUAAUGACGGUACCGUAAGAAUAAGCACCGGCUAACUACGUG